GAAGGAGGGGCGGGACUGAGGUGAGCUGAGCGGGAGGGGCGGGACUGAGGUGAGCCGGGCCGGGGCGGGAGGGCGGUGCACCGGUGUGGCGCGGUGGCCGGACGCCCCACAAUCAAUACGGCCCACGCCCCUGGGCGGACCCACAGCAGCAGCACCGCCGCCACACCGCCUAGCCACCGCCCAGACCCUGCCAGCGCCGCGGCGGCCGAACACGCGCUGCCGCUGCUCCGCACAGGGCACAGUCUUUUAUGUUGUUUGUGUUUGUUGUCAGGCUUUUGUACGGUUUGUUGGAAACUGCACCUGGCUCGCCAGAUCUACCACCCACUCUCUCGCACCACCACACCCACGACCGCACCAACACUGACUGUUUACUUGCCGCUUUACGGACGCACCGCAUUCUGACUUUGAGUUAAUGUGUUUUUCCUUUACGUGUGUUGCACCACGACAACUGCUGACGCCACGCUCAGCGGCACCACCUGCACCUUGCACCUGCACCACUUGCACCUCCACCAUCACCACCACCAGCACCAGCACCACCACUACCACCACCUCCCACCACUCCCCACCCCCCCACCACCACCACUACUUAAGUCACCGUCACCACUUCACGUGCACCGCGCCCAGGCAACGCCCACCGUCACCUCUGCUCCUGACAGCGGCAGCAGCAGCAGCAGCAGCAGGAGCAGCGUGCACCUCAGCCUGGUGGGGGCGUCAAUAGUGAAGUAAGGGGGCGGGUGGGAGACGCGCUCCUUAAAGCUGCAGUCACACACCCCCACGCGGCAGGGCCUCGGCACGCCACUCCCGCCCUUACGCCGCCUCGCCGCGAGGGCCGCCUCCCCAUGCACCACCUGGCUCAUAUUGAUUGUGAUACCUGAAUGUGAUGAGUGAAUAAUUGCCCAAAUAACACCUGCUCGCACGGCACGUAGCGUUUGACCACCAAAACACUGAUAUGCACCUGCAAUGAUGAAACUAUAAACGUCUUCCUUAAUCAUAGUAGUCGACAAAGCAGGAUCAUCAUCCUCAUCCUCACCGAGAAGCACAACUGCCACGAUUUAUCUUCCAGUGACGCACAAGUUAAUUCUGCACCGGCCCGUGGCGCCACUAGGUUAGGAACACUUUCCCACGAGGAAAACUUUGACACAAGGCAGAAGACCGCCGCCUGAUGAGGCGGUGAGCUGGCGACGACAACAACUCGAGGCGCCGUGAGAGCCACGCCGCCACACCUGCCACUCCGCCUCCCUCCCUGGCUCUCCGCGCCCUGGCACUCUCGCUCAGCAUGGCACUCGCCGGACGCCGCGGCCAAGCACACCGUAUGCACCUCAACACGCGAGGCUCAUGAGCGGUCUUGGUGAUCAGCUCGCAAGUCUUCCCCCUCACGUGUCCACAUGUUUGUUUGUUUGUCCGUGAGCCUCGGCGAGUCGCUCUGAUAAGCCUGAUCAGAAGCCUCACACUAGAUAGGUCACCUGACACCACAGACACGCUUCCUGCGUUCGCCCAGGCAGCAUCAGCGUCUUCCUGAUCCGCAGUGCUGACAUUCUUCCAUUAUAUGACAUAAGGUAUUUCCUCCAAGGCUUCCUGACAAGAUUUUCCCGCACGCAGCAGCAGCAGCAGCAGCAGCAGCAAGAGCACGAGCGCUGCAGAGGCCGCGAUGCUACAUGUCCCCAGAGCGUCAAACACUGCACCUCCCCAAGUUGUAUGCUGAGACGCACUUCACUGAACACUUGAAUUUGAAAUAAUGAAGAGGAGUGAACUGUCAACAUUUUUUUUCACGCCUCAGACAAAAGUUUGAGAGGCAAGCUCUUAUAUUUCUAAACUUUUGUUACAAAGUUGGCAAUUGGGACAUUUUCCUGUGGGAGCUCAAAUCUGGAAGCCGCAAGAGGCUGUCUAGUAGAUCAAGUUUUGUAGUGUAAAGGAAAUUUUUGUUAUUUCCUGUGAAAUAUUUUUUGAUUAACUGAUUGGAAAUACUCUAUGAAGUAGAUUUACCGUACCUAUAAGUUUGUGUAGCGGAAUGAUAGAUACUUGCUAGAGUGUAAGCACACGUAGACUCUGAAACCUAUUUUGUAACGCUGGCAAAGCCCCGAGGAGACAGGCGCUGGCAGGGGACUGACGUGAACACUUCAAACCCACUCGAUGCCCUGAACUCUGAAAAAAAAAGAAAAAAAAAAUGCUUCUGGCUUGAUAUACAUAGCUUUCCGCAACUUAAGGGUGUGAAACUUGGCUUCCAAGAGUUAAGUGGCCUUAGACACAGCUGUAAGUGAAUUACUCAAGAUCGCCAACGCGCACAUGCACACAUAUAGUGCGAAAAUAGUCGAAUAUUGCUUGUGCGUGCAAGAAAUUUAUUCCUUUUAGUAUAGUGUGGCAGCCAUGCUCCAAGGACCUGAGUGAACCAUGAGUACCUGCGCUGAAGCCCCGUCGAAGACCCGGAAGAGAAGAGUGGAGAGACCGCCGACGAAAUGGAAGGGACCGGGAGAAGGACCCGAGGACGAUGCGUCGCCGGAUUCGACCACGACCGACGAGCUCGCCGAGAAACUAAAG
Long non-coding RNA from Eriocheir sinensis (Chinese mitten crab), 2535 nucleotides. RefSeq lists it as uncharacterized. The transcript has 3 exons. The record is from RefSeq and is a predicted model, not a curated record. NCBI's taxonomy places the organism in Eukaryota, Metazoa, Arthropoda, Malacostraca, Decapoda, Varunidae.